Non-coding RNA from Heterorhabditis bacteriophora, 143 nucleotides. The record is from Rfam. Lineage: Eukaryota; Metazoa; Nematoda; Chromadorea; Rhabditida; Heterorhabditidae.
CCAAAGCCAGAUCACUCUGGUUCAAUGUCGGGGCGCGAAAAUCACUUGCUUACGACUUGUAUACUGGUCAAGGUGUUGUAUCCAGUAGAGCAGUCUCUUUAUACUGCGAUCUGUUGAGACUAUCCUUUGAUUGGAUGUUUGUU